UCUUCCUAAAUGAUCUGAUAGGUGGCCAACCCACAACCUGCGCCUUGGUAGCAGGUGCACUACUGUUGUUGUUUGCAGAAGCAUUAUGAUUUGGUCUUGUAUCAUUUGUUCCAUGAGGCCUCUCCUGUGGUAACUUUGGUGCACCUACUUCUUUCACUUUAGCUGCUUGAGGCCCAAAGUUUUCAAGGGAAGAACCAGGUUUCAAUCCCAAGUUUGAAGAGGGCCUAGGUGACGGCAUCACAUUAACCUCUGAAUUUGACAUAUAUUUACCCUUUGAGAAUCCAUCCAUAGCAUCAGAGAACCCUCUUUU
RNAcentral lists this unclassified non-coding RNA (310 nucleotides) under Hevea brasiliensis (rubber tree). Lineage: Eukaryota; Viridiplantae; Streptophyta; Magnoliopsida; Malpighiales; Euphorbiaceae. The record is from RNAcentral.